CUAAAAAAAAUCUCAUUUUCUUCAUGUUUUUAAGGGUGGGAGAAGAUGACUUUUUUGGUUAGCCGGAAAAAUCAUCUUAUCUCCGCCCAUAUUACUAAUUAUUUUAGUUCAAUAAGUCUUAGUUCACAAAUUUAGUGUUUGAUUUGGAUUUUGCUUUUUUCUUAUUGGAAUAAAGUUUAAAGUUUUAUAUAUCUUCUUUAAUUAAGAUUUUUUGGAUCACACUAGUGUUUGUUUGAGCUUUUAAGAAAUGAAAAGAGUAUCAACCUAUCUUUUUAGAGUUUCACUGAAGAUGUAGAUUGAAGAUCAAAAAUAGUAGGUUUCAACGGAUCAAGCGGAUUGAAUUAUAAAUCGAAAAAAGAAAAUUUCAAAACACCCAAAUUUGUUUUUUUUUUGGCAUUGAGCUUUAUUUUGUUAUUAAAGGUUAAAUGUUAUUAAGGAAUCAUAAUUGAUGCUGAAUAACAUUUUAUUUGUGACUUUCUUAAUUUUUUACACAGAUAAUCGAGUCGAGUUCGAGUAUCUAUAUUAUCGGAGCUCGUGCUCGAGCUCUCAAAAUGGAGCUGGAUCAAGUUUGGAUAUAAACUGAAGCAAAAGUUCUUGAUUUGAUUUCUUUGAGGAAGUGAAAUAGCAAUGGAAACAGUUGAAAAAACUGAAGAAACAGUCUCCAAUGAAACACUGAAAUCGGCCGGAACUGUGAACUGGGGUGCAGCAACAGUAAUGUGCUGCUGGGAUCAGUUUUGGGUGCAGCAUUCUGUUUUCCUCUUGGAUGGGUGCAACUGAAGCUUAUAGAGAAAGCAAAUGAAGCAAAUGUUGAUUCUAAUGCAAGCGGAGAAGCAAGAAGCGGCGUCGGUGCUGCAAUUGAGAGGCUUGAGGGUAACUUGAAAGUGAAGUAGUUAAUAUCUCAAGUAACUAUUGUAGGCAUAAUACCUCACUGAUGUCCCAUCGACUUGAGAGUUCGUAUCAAGAGAAGAAAUCUUUGCUAAAAGUAGAAUCAAACAAAGUAGAAAUACAUUUGUUUUUAUUAUAGCAAGAUAGUGCUAUGUAUUAAUAAUUUAAUACACAUAAUUUUAUAAUUAUUUUAUUUAUUUAUUCAAGUCGUUGAAUCGUUUAAACA
Molecule: long non-coding RNA, 1111 nt
Organism: Mercurialis annua (annual mercury)
Lineage: Eukaryota; Viridiplantae; Streptophyta; Magnoliopsida; Malpighiales; Euphorbiaceae
Exons: 4
Source: RefSeq, a predicted model, not a curated record